Molecule: long non-coding RNA, 5643 nt
Organism: Symphalangus syndactylus (siamang)
Lineage: Eukaryota; Metazoa; Chordata; Mammalia; Primates; Hylobatidae
Source: RefSeq, a predicted model, not a curated record
UCAGCAGUGAUGCAGGCCAGGGUUGCCUGUGUUCUCAGCAGUGAUGCAGGCCAGGGGCCACAGUCAGGGAUGGAGAGACCCUUGUCCUUAGCAGUGAUGCGGGCCAGGGACCACAGCCAGGGAUGGGGGGGACCCUGUGUCCUUAGCAGUGAUGCUGGCCAGGGUCCGUAGCUGGCCUGCUCCCCGCCUCAAACCAGCAUCCUGGCGUGUGGGGCAGGAAGGAGCCUGGGGGACCCAGGAAGCCUCUGAGGGAGACAAGGGACCACCCCAGGGGAGCCCAGGAUGGAUCUUGAGGCAGCCCCAGUACUGCCCCCAGAGGGGACCCAGGACCACCCCCUAGAAGGACCCAGCACCCACCUGAGGGCCAGCGGUGGAGGGAUGGGGUCAGGAGCCUGGUGCACCCUGCUUGGCCAGGCCCAGGCCCAGGCCCAGGCCUGUGGCAAGCCGCUGCCCACCCGGGGCCCUCCUGGAACCCUCAGCUGGGUCUCAGAGUUAUCCUUACAUGGGAGCACAGGAGUGUCCUGUAAGAACCCAACCUACCCCGGGGAGGGACCAGCCCUGGCGAGGGGAUGCUGAUGGCACCCUGCUUCAUACCCAAGAGGGGCUGGCCCCGUCCCCACGGCCCUGGCCAGGAAGAAGUGUGGACCGGGCACUGGGCAGGCCCAACCGGGGAAAGAGCAGCCAGAGAGGGCCACCCAGUGGGAGCCCUGUGCCUUUCCAGGAAGGGCCCAGGUCCAGAGGAGGAGCCAAGGCUCUACCCACAGGGGCCUCCAUGGAGGGAGGAGGGAGCCAGAGUGGCAUGUGAGGCUGGACCCUGCACCCCGCACCUGGGGGCACUUAUCCUGAGGUGUGCUACCAACAGGGCCCCAGCUACCAGCACCAGGGAGCCAAAGAAGGGGCCGGCCGGACAGGGUCUGGAGCUGGGCCCGGGAGGACAGCUCAGGCUGUGGCAGGAGGGAGGGUGGGGAAGAUGGGAGUGCUCAGAAUCUGCUCUGUGCCUCCAGGCAUCCCCCCAUCCCUGAUCCAGUGCCAGGCCUCUAUGUGUUCUCACAGGGUACCUCAGGCUCUUCCGGGCAAUGGCCAACAUCUCUCAUCCUCAAUCAGAAAGAGGGCGAGGGGUCUCUGGAGUAACGGUCAUGCCAUUCUGCAGCCUUAUCUCAUGACUGAUCACUUCCAAAAGCUCACAUUCUAAUCCUGUCACCUUGGGUGUGAGCAUUUCAAUGUGUGAAUCUCCGGGACACACAUUCAGACCACAGCACCAGGGAGAAAGGAAAGGCUGGAAGGAGAGCCCACUCCCCCACCAGGAGCUUGGCCCUGAGCUGCCCCAGCCAUGCAGAAGUGUGUGUGCAUUGUGUGUGCUCGAAUACAUGCCCCACCCUCUCCAGGACAGGGCCGUGGAGGGUGCAGAGAAAACGGCUGUGCGGGCCAGCCCCUUGCAGGUCCUCCUGGACCUGGGAGAAGCGAUGCCCCCACAGCCUCCAGGAGCGGCCUGCCCUCCUGACCCUCUUCACUGCUGCCUGCUCCGCUGCAUCUCCAAACACCACUGCCAGCCAUCAGGCUGGAUUUUCUGCCUCCUUCACAGGACCCCUGUUGUUCCUUAUUUCCCCGCAAUGUAUUUGUUGAAGACAGUGAGAUAUUCACCCUACAGAGCUUCUGGAGGCACUGUGCCCCGGGUGUCCUUCACACCACGGGAGGCCACAGGACGCAGUGGCUGGCCAUGGAUCUUGCCUAUUCCUGGCUGGAAUCCACUGCAAAGAGAACUUUCAUGGAGCUGCUGUCUGUUCAAAGGGGUACAGGUGGAGGAGGAGCAGACACAAUUUCCUGAGGAAAGCAAAUGUCACUGUGUCCCUUAAGUUGCCAGCUUCCACAGGGAUGUCCCACCAUGAGGCCUCCUCCCAGGAGCUUUCACAGCUGGGUGGGCUGGUAUCCUGGGUGCAGUUUAACUGAAGGGGGUGUUCUCACAGCCACCUCCCAAGGCCUGGGGGAUGGUGGGCCCAGAGGCCUCAGACCUGCACCUGCUGCCCAGGCGAUGGGGUGGCUGGGCCCCGGGUGCCCAUGAACUAUAGGCAAAAAAAACUAAGUCAGUUCUGCAGGGUUUCCAGAACAUUUUACGAUCCCCAAGUCGUAUCUGAACAUGUCAAGAAUCUCUGGUGUCUUGGUUUGGGUGUAAAGAUGAAGUUCUUUCCUCCUCUGUAUUCUAGGAGGAAAGAGGGUUUUCAUUCCCUUCUGAAUGUUAGGAGGGAAGGCAUUUUCCAUCCUUGACCAGCUUGUAGAUGACACACAUUCAGCAAACACACACUCCCAGCAGCACCGAGAGAACAAACAGGUGUGUCACGCUUUUGCGUUCAUAAGGCCUUUUCAUGUCAGUAUUUUAUUAGAUAUUCCCAAACAAGGGUGUUUUCUCAUCUUAUAGAAGAGGGGCCUGAGGCUCACAGGGUGAAAACAACUUGCUUAAGCCUACACAGCGGCUGUGCUGGCAACGUUUCUCCCGGUAUAAAUGAGAAGCAGCCUUUGUGGCCACAGAGAUGUGACUGCUAAGUGCAUUGUCCCACCCUGAAGGAGAUUCUUCCUCAACAAAAGGACAUUAGUGCAAAGACUGAUGAAGUCUGUAGUUUCGUGGGGUUUGUUUUUUUUUAAGCGUAAGGGGUUAAAUAUUAUGUAAUUAAUAAGGCAGUUGUGAGGAUGCAACUGCCAAAAGUUUGAAAAAAGCUGCCCAGAUGGAAAUCUGCUUGCAUUUGUGCAAGCAGAUAGGUGAGGAAUUUUUAUUGUACUGCCGUGUCCCCUACCUGCCCCAGCUUUAUUGAGUUAUAAUUGACAAGCAAAAAUUGUUUAAAGUGUACAAUGUGAUGUAGCCUUUUUGUUUUGUUUUGUUUUGAGACAUAAUCUUAUCACCCAGGCUGGAGUGAGGUGGUGCAGUUUUAACUGCGCAGGCUCAUGAUCCUCCUUCCUCAGACUCCUGAGUAGCUAGAACAACAGGUGUGAGCCACCAUGCCUGGCUAAUUUUUUUAUUUAUUUAUUUUUUAAGAGGCAGGGCCUCCCUGUUUCCCAGGCUGGUCUUGAACUCCUGGGCUCAAGCAAUCAUCCCGCCUCGGCCUCCCAAAGUGAUGGUAUUACAGGCAUGAGCUACUGUGCCUGGCCAGAAAUGGUGAAUUAUAAUUAAAGGCUUCUGUAAGUCAUGCUGUCAUAUUUUAAUGGAAAUACCUCCUUUCAUUGCAGCUGGGUUGCUUACAAAUACACUACUUCAAAGUAAACUUUCUCUAGUAACAUAUCAGGAGCAAAGUAAAAUCUACUUGGAGCAAGUAAAUCUGACUGCUACCCCACUAUUUUGAAGCAUACACAGAAAGCUGGUUCCUGGACCCCCACAUAUACCAAAAUCUGUGCAUACUCAAGUUCUACAGUCGGCCCUGUGGAACCCAAGUAUAGGACAAGCCGGCCCUCCCUAUACACCAGCCUCUGGUAACCAUCAUUCAACUCUCUACCUCCAUGAAAUCAACAUGAGUGAGAACUGGUGAAACCCAAACAUAGUCUCGAGUUUAGCUUUUUUUUUUUUUUUUUUUAACUGUAAGAGGCUAAACAUUCUUGAGGAGGACACAAAAAAAUCUGAAGACAACUGCCCAGAUGAGAAUCUUGCACUUGCACAAGUAGAGAGGAGAGUUAGUUUUUAUACCAUCACAUCCCCAAUCCCAGCUUUACUGAUGCAUAACAAAUAAAAAUUCUACAUAUUUAAAGUGUACAAUGUGAUGUUUUGAUAUAUGUCUACAUAGUGCAAAUUAGCUCCCACAUAGGAAUGACAACAUGUCAUAUUUGCCUUUCUGUGCCUGGCUUAUUUCACUUAACAUAAUGGCCUCCAGUUCCAUCCAUGUUGUUGCGAAUGACAGGAUCUCAUUUUUUGAUGGCUGAAUAAUACUCCAUUGUGUAUAUGUAACAUGUUUUCUUGGACAUUCAAGUUGAUUCCAUAUCUUGGCUAUCAUGAAUAGCUACAGUGAACAUGUACCCUAGUAACAUAAUGGAUAGACACCACACACUUAGGUAGCAUAAAACAAAAGAAAGUUAUUUUCCUUACAUAUUAGAAACAGACUAAAGCUAUUUUGAAAAACACCUAAUUUACAAAGUUAUUCAUGUGUAUUAAAUUGCACCAUAAAAAUAACAGGGCCUUUGUCUUCCUGGGAUUUUUCUCCUGGGCCUACCUCAGCACAUUCCUCUUUAGAUCAACGUUAGGCUACUUUGUAAAGCUGGUCUGACAACAAGAAAUGCUAUUAUGGAGGAAAAGAUCUCUUAUUUCAAUUCUCUUGUUCUCCUGAUUUGAAAUGGGUUUGUCCAUUUUGUUUCUAUUUCAAGACCAAGGGGUAGAAGCUCUUGGUUUUUCAGUUUGUGCUGAAAAAAAAAAAAAAUCUAUUCUAUGGUGACAAAAUAUAUUUUUAAAAUAAUCUAUUACAAAAUUAGGCAAAGUCACACCAAAAAUGGGAAAUAAAAUGGAAAAUGCUACCUUUUUAGAUAAGGAAAAUUGUAGAGAAAUAAAUGACAAUUACUAAACACGAUCAUUUAUUUCAUUUUUACAUUGUAGAAGGUUUAUUAAAAUAAAGAGUUGGUGCACAGCCGCUGUGGAAAACAGUAUGAUGGUUCCUAAAAAAUUAAAUAUAGAAUCCCCAUGUGACCCAGCAAUUCCAUCUAUCAGUAUGCAUCCAAAAGAAUUGAAAGCAGGGUCUCGAAAAGAUAUUUGUACACCCAUUUUAUUUUUAAUUUUAAAACAUUUUUUAAUAGAGACAGGGUCUCACCAUGUUGCCCAGGCUGGUCUUGACCUCCUGGGCUCAAGUGAUCCUCCUGCUGCAGCCUCCCAAAGCACCAGGGUUACAGAUGUGAGCCACCACAGCCGGCCCACCCAUAUUUAUUUCAGCACUAUUCCCAACAGCCAAGAGCUGGAAGCAACCCAAGUGUCCAUCAACAGAUGAGUGGAUGAACAAAAGGUGGUGGAUACACACAAAGGACAGCUAUUCAGUUUAUUUUAUUUAUUUAUUUAUUUAUUUAUUUAUUUAUUUAUUUAUUUAUUUAUUGAGAUGGAGUUUCACUCUUGUUGCCCAGGCUGGAGUGCAAUGGUGCUCCGCCUCCCUGGUUCAACCGAUUCUCCUGCCUCAGCCUCCCAAGUAGUUGGGAUUAUAGGCAUGCGCCACCACACCCAGCUAAUUUUGUAUUUUUAGUAGAGACAGGGUUUCACCAUGUUGGUCAGGCUGGUCUUGAACUCCUGACCUCAGGUGAUCCACCCACCUCGACCUCCCAAAGUGCUGGGAUUACAGGUGGGAGCCACCGCGCCAGGCUUUCAGUUUAUUUUUAAUUCAGCUUUUAAAAGCAGGACAUUUGUAACAUCUACAAUAGAGAUAAUUCUUGAGGACAUUAUGCUGAGUGAAUAAGCCAGGCACAGAAAGACAAAGACUGAUUCCAUUCCUGUGAGGUCCCCAGAGGAUUCAUGCCCACAGAGACAGAGGGUAGAAUGGGGGUUCCAGGGCUCGGGUGGGGGUAUGGGGAUUGGUGUGUCAUGGGGAGAGAUUGUCAGGUUUGGAACAUGAAGAAGCUCUGGAGAUGGGUGAUGGUGAUGGCUGCACAACCACAUGAAUGCGCUUAAUGCCACUGAACUGGACACUUAAAAUG